GUCCUUUUCCAAACCCUGCUGGAUCUGGACGCGGACAUACAUGCCCGGCAGCAGAUCGUUGUUCGGGUUGGGGAAUUCGC
Molecule: small RNA, 80 nt
Filed under: Sinorhizobium meliloti 2011
Lineage: Bacteria; Pseudomonadati; Pseudomonadota; Alphaproteobacteria; Hyphomicrobiales; Rhizobiaceae
Description: putative ncRNA
Source: RNAcentral